This 536-nucleotide ribosomal RNA is filed under the name Chlosyne californica (California patch butterfly). Its description in RNAcentral is "partial 16S ribosomal RNA". The stretch from base 399 to 536 matches the Rfam family "Archaeal large subunit ribosomal RNA", at positions 2542 to 2680 of the family's 2987-position model. Lineage: Eukaryota; Metazoa; Arthropoda; Insecta; Lepidoptera; Nymphalidae. The record is from RNAcentral.
UCAAAAACAUGUCUUUUUGAUAAUAAUUUAAAGUCUAAUCUGCCCACUGAUAUUUAUAUUAAAGGGCUGCAGUAUAUUGACUGUACAAAGGUAGCAUAAUCAUUAGUCUUUUAAUUGGGGACUUGUAUGAAAGAUUUGAUGAAAUAUAAACUGUCUCUAAUUUAAAAAUAAAAUUUAAUUUUUUAGUUAAAAAGCUAAAAUUUUAUUAAAAGACGAGAAGACCCUAUAAAGUUUUAUAAUUUAUUUAUUUAAUAUAAAAUAUAUAAUUAAAUAUAAUAAUUAAAUGAAUUAUUUUAUUGGGGUGAUAGAAAAAUUUAAUAAACUUUUUUUUUAUAAAAACAUAUAUAAGUGAUAAAAUGAUCCAUUUAUUAAUGAUUAAAAGAAAAAAUUACUUUAGGGAUAACAGCGUAAUAUUUUUUUUUAGUACAAAUAAAAAAAAAAGUUUGCGACCUCGAUGUUGGAUUAAGAUAAAAUUUAAAUGCAAAAGUUUAAAAUUUUGAUCUGUUCGAUCAUUAAAAUCUUACAUGAUCUGAGCU